This 305-nucleotide ribosomal RNA is filed under the name uncultured bacterium. RNAcentral describes it as "bacterial SSU rRNA". It matches the Rfam family "Bacterial small subunit ribosomal RNA", at positions 335 to 637 of the family's 1533-position model. The record is from RNAcentral.
CUUCCUACGGGACGCAGCAGUGAGGAAUAUUGGUCAAUGGCCGAGAGGCUGAACCAGCCAAGUCGCGUGAGGGAUGACGGCCCUACGGGUUGUAAACCUCUUUUGUCGGGGAGCAAGACCCGCCACGAGUGGCGGAGCGAGAGUACCCGAAGAAAAAGCAUCGGCUAACUCCGUGCCAGCAGCCGCGGUAAUACGUAGGGGACAAGCGUUAUCCGGAUUUACUGGGUGUAAAGGGGGCGCAGACGGCAAUGCAAGCCAGGAGUGAAAGCCCGGGGCCCAACCCCGGGACUGCUCUUGGAACUGCA